RNAcentral lists this ribosomal RNA (494 nucleotides) under uncultured bacterium. RNAcentral describes it as "partial 16S ribosomal RNA". It matches the Rfam family "Bacterial small subunit ribosomal RNA", at positions 28 to 507 of the family's 1533-position model. The record is from RNAcentral.
GACGAACGCUGGCGGCGUGCUUAACACAUGCAAGUCGAACGGAAAGGCCUGCUUUCCCUUGUGGAUUGCGGGUACUCGAGUGGCGAACGGGUGAGUAACACGUGAGUGAUCUGCCCCCAACUUGGGUAUAAGCCUGGGAAACUGGGUCUAAUUCCCGAUAGGACUGCAGGGUGGUGCCUGUGGUGGAAAACGAUUUUCUAGUGGUUGGGGAUGAGCUCGCGGCCUAUCAGCUUGUUGGUGGGGUAAUGGCCUACCAAGGCGGCGACGGGUAGCCGGCCUGAGAGGGUGGACGGGCACAUUGGGACUGAGAUACGGCCCAGACUCCUACGGGAGGCAGCAGUGGGGAAUAUUGCACAAUGGGCGGAAGCCUGAUGCAGCGACGCCGCGUGGGGGAUGACGGCCUUCGGGUGGUAAACUCCUUUCGACCGCGAGGAAGCCGCCUGGUUGGAAGGGUGGUGACGGUAGUGGUAGAAGAAGCACCGGCUAACUACGUG